This 176-nucleotide ribosomal RNA is filed under the name uncultured bacterium. RNAcentral describes it as "partial 16S ribosomal RNA". It matches the Rfam family "Bacterial small subunit ribosomal RNA", at positions 1325 to 1500 of the family's 1533-position model. The record is from RNAcentral.
GGCGGAAUUGCUAGUAAUCGCGAAUCAGAAUGUCGCGGUGAAUACGUUCCCGGGCCUUGUACACACCGCCCGUCACACCAUGAGAGUCGAUAACACCCGAAGCCUGUGAGCUAACCUUAGGGAGGCAGCAGUCGAAGGUGGGGUUGAUGAUUAGGGUGAAGUCGUAACAAGGUAUC